GCCUGUGUGGCUUAGUCGGUUAAGCAUCUGACUUUGGCUCAGGUCAUGGUCUCAUACUUUGUGAGUUUCAGCCUCAUGUCAGGCU
Molecule: transfer RNA, 85 nt
Filed under: Felis catus (domestic cat)
Lineage: Eukaryota; Metazoa; Chordata; Mammalia; Carnivora; Felidae
Rfam family: tRNA
About the family: Transfer RNA (tRNA) molecules are approximately 80 nucleotides in length.
Source: Rfam by way of RNAcentral